UAACAAGGUUUCCGUAGGUGAACCUGCGGAAGGAUCAUUACAGUAUUCUUUUUGCCAGCGCUUAAUUGCGCGGCGAAAAAACCUUACACACAGUGUUUUUUGUUAUUACAAGAACUUUUGCUUUGGUCUGGACUAGAAAUAGUUUGGGCCAGAGGUUUACUGAACUAAACUUCAAUAUUUAUAUUGAAUUGUUAUUUAUUUAAUUGUCAAUUUGUUGAUUAAAUUCAAAAAAUCUUCAAAACUUUCAACAACGGAUCUCUUGGUUCUCGCAUCGAUGAAGAACGCAGCGA
Molecule: unclassified non-coding RNA, 290 nt
Filed under: uncultured fungus
Lineage: Eukaryota; Fungi
Description: partial contains 18S rRNA, ITS1, 5.8S rRNA
Rfam family: 5.8S ribosomal RNA (bases 240-290)
Source: RNAcentral